RNAcentral lists this ribosomal RNA (301 nucleotides) under uncultured bacterium. RNAcentral describes it as "partial 16S ribosomal RNA". It matches the Rfam family "Bacterial small subunit ribosomal RNA", at positions 509 to 807 of the family's 1533-position model. The record is from RNAcentral.
CAGUCGCCGCGGGAAUACGUAGGGUGCAAGCGUUGUCCGGAAUUAUUGGGCGUAAAGAGCUCGUAGGCGGUUUGUCGCGUCUGCUGUGAAAUCCCGAGGCUCAACCUCGGGCUUGCAGUGGGUACGGGCAGACUAGAGUGCGGUAGGGGAGAUUGGAAUUUCUGGUGUAGCGGUGGAAUGCGCAGAUAUCAGGAGGAACACCGAUGGCGAAGGCAGAUCUCUGGGCCGUAACUGACGCUGAGGAGCGAAAGCGUGGGGAGCGAACAGGAUUAGAUACCCCGGUAGUCCCUGUCUCUUAUAC